UGGAGAAGCCUGAAAUGAUCUUGC
Molecule: non-coding RNA, 24 nt
Filed under: Arabidopsis thaliana (thale cress)
Lineage: Eukaryota; Viridiplantae; Streptophyta; Magnoliopsida; Brassicales; Brassicaceae
Source: RNAcentral